AAAAAAAAAAAAAAACCCACAAAAUUCAGGAGUUUUUGAUGUUGUCUUUGUUGUUGUUUUGGGGUUUUAUUUUUUUCCCCAUGGAAUUCUUUUCAUGACCCUGCAGGGUCAUGAAAACAUUUCUUCUGCCCUUAAGAGAGAGCUGCCUCCUCCUUUCUUCAUAGUUUUCAGGGAAGGGGAAUUUGGAGAUUUUCUUCCAUAUACCUUUCAGAGUCUGAUAGCUAUGCUCAAACUCACACCAUUUCUACAAAUAAAGGUGCACCCUCUUAUCAGGGCUGGCUGGUGCAGAAGAUAAAAACUUCAGUCUAAUAUCUGGGAAUGAGAAACAUAGCAGUUCUCUGUUUUUUUAAAGUCAGAUUACCCGUAGCUCCAAGCUCCCGCCAUGCAACUGGAGGGAAGUCCAAGAUUGACCAAUAUUGGCCUGCUUGGCUCAGACUACCACUCAGUCACUGCAUGAACUUGACCAAUUACUAACCAACCAUUCUGUGCCUCAGUCUCCUCAUUAGUAUAAUGGGGCUGUUAGUAGCUCUCUUGUUUAUGCAAGGUGGUUGUGCAAGACUAAUUGAAACCAUAUGCAUAAGUGCUUAUAGCAAUACCUGUUUCAUAUCAAGUGUUCAGAUGCUGUUGCUUUGAUCAUAACUUUGAUGAUUACUGUUAUGAAUUGAGAGACUUAUGUGACCCCAGGAAAAUGGGACAGAGACAUCAUCUUAGCCUAGCACUCUGACCAUCCCUUAUCAGUUCACUCCUUGUGCUCCUUGGUGUGCCAGCCAACACCGAUCCUCUAUCACCUGUUGGGCACCUGUGUGUACACUGGGCAGACACAGAGUGAUGGCCUAAGCCGGACUCAAUACUGGUGGACCCUCACAUGGGCCUGCGCUCCAAAAAUACAGUUCCCUAAAAUCCACAGGCCACCCCCACCAGAGGACUAGCUGCCUUCCCAAGCAGAAGGGAACAAUGUCUUUUAUACCCUUUCAACUAUUCAGUUUCAGAGUCUGUCUGUCUGUCUGUCUCUGUCUCUCUACUAAGGGGUCCAUGGCCUCCUGGAUGAUCCAGUUCUGUGGCUUUAGGACCACAGUCUCUAAAUAAAAGUCUGUUAAUUUUCCCCUGGAGCAAAAGAUCCUCCACCUGCAGAAUGGGAGCCUCACUCUCUCAAAGGUGGGAUGUGGGCAAAGGGAAAGAACCUUCUCUCCUUUGGGAUUGUGUUGCACCUACAGCAGGAUUCAGGACACAGCUAAUUUCUCAUUCAGACUUCAUGCUGGCUUGAAAGCAAGUUUUGGACAGCAUGGGUCUGGCACUUUCACCCCUUUAGAGUCUGAGCCAGCAGUGUUCUAGGAGCUGAGCCGAAGGACGGAUACAUUUUUUUCUGAGUUGAGGCAUUAGGGACUUUGGACAGAUGCCUAAAUCAGAGACUUAAGGAGUCGGUGGGUCAGAACUGAAUCUCCAGACCAAAGCUGGUCUAUUAAAUCCAGAGCAGCUGAAAUGAACAGGCAGUUAAUGGACUCAUGGGUGCUGGGGAGCCAGUGUAUGAGGGGAUUCCAAGAGGAAGGAAAGAAGGUGUAUCUGGAGGUAUUCCCAGUAGUUGGCAGUGACUUUUUAAAAAAUGUGCCAUAUAUGUCACUUGUUUCCAUCCUAUUCUAGGAUUAUUGUCCUCUAGUGGCCAAUAUGGUUCCUUCUUUUUAUCCUACUGCCCCUGGCCUGAUUGUACCAAUGUCUCUGAUAAGUUAGAGUAGCCACACUUCUUACUGUAGACCUCUCAAAGAAUAUCACAAGACCCCACUUUUUCAUUCAGUACCCCUGCUCCAGCAUUAGAUUUAGAAGAAAAGAAAAACUAGCAUCUGUUGAUCAUUUCCUGUACAAAGGCCACAUCCAAGUGUGUUGUCUAAUUUAGAAUUGGGUUCUAAUCCCAGCUCUUCCAGUCCAAGCUGUAUGACCUUAGGCAAAUCAUUUAACAUCAAAAAGAUCUGCCUCACCUAUAAAAGCUCUAAAAACAAUGCUUCUUUGACACUAUCAAGCUUUGGGCGUUAUCUUUAUUCUUUCCUCAUAACCUAAUUUUCUGACUCUAUAGUUUCACUUCUACCAUUUUUUAGCUAUCUGUUAGACAAGGAAAUAAAUGGAAAACCAAUCUUCAGAUGAACUCAUCAAUGCUGAUACGUGUUAAUGACUUAACAAGUUUUAUCUCUCAGUGAAAUUUAAAUUUUAAAAUGUAAAUUUCAUUUCUUAGUUCAAAAAAGAAUUUGAAUGUCUAGGGUCUGUCAGAUUCUGUUGUUCCUGUGGCUUGAAUGUUUUAACCUAGAAUUUCCCAAAGUAUGCACCAUAAAAAAGUUCCACAGGCAAAUAAAGCAUUAAAAUACAACACACUAAUUUCUGCUUCUGCCCAAGGUGGAGUAAAGGGGCCUGAGUUUACUUGCUUCCUGAAAUAACAAAAUAUACAAACUGUACAGAACAGUUAUCAAGACUGCUCAUCAGGCAACAAAGGACAGUGAACCCUAAGAGACAAGAAAGAUGUGAAUGCCUUAGUUUAGUGUCUUGGGAGAUCUUCCAGACUGCAGUGCAGGGAGGGACAACCCAGGCAGAAUCAAGGAGAUGGACCUGAUGCUUUGGGAAGUCAUGAUGGCCUGCACUCAUCGAAUAGCAUGCUAGAAAGGAGAGGGCUGCACACAGAGAGAACUCUGGAGACCUGAAAAGGUCCGCCAUGAACAGACAGCGGUGUAUAGAUCAACACAUGCAUGUGGGAAACUACCAUAUUUAAGUAGGGGAGAGACACUCAAAAGACACCCAAAUGCCUGCUAUUCACGCGAAGCUGAGCAUAGUGAUUGUUCCCAACAGGCAGACUAGAAAAACUCAUAAUUCAUAAGACAUUUGGCUAGAAUACUCAGGAAUGUUGUGCCUCUGCAGUGGGGAAUAAUUAACCUGAGAUAGAGCAUGGUCAUGACCUGCCUAAUGAAUCAUAAAAAUCACAUGUGAAAGGAACAAAUUAUUUCCAAGCAACUGCAUCCCAGAACAAAGAUAAA
RNAcentral lists this long non-coding RNA (3011 nucleotides) under Sus scrofa (pig). Its description in RNAcentral is "lncRNA (ENSSSCG00000052666.1)". The record is from RNAcentral. Lineage: Eukaryota; Metazoa; Chordata; Mammalia; Artiodactyla; Suidae.